This is a long non-coding RNA of Coccinella septempunctata (seven-spotted ladybird), 746 nucleotides long. RefSeq lists it as uncharacterized. Lineage: Eukaryota; Metazoa; Arthropoda; Insecta; Coleoptera; Coccinellidae. The record is from RefSeq and is a predicted model, not a curated record. The transcript is spliced from 7 exons.
UGUUUUCCAAACUUAUACCACAUGUUCGGACCGCUCUCGACGCAGCCUCCUUUAUUACUUUAUUGAUAACGUUGAUCGAUCGUUAUUGCAGGUGCCGCUUCAACAAUGAGAGUUGAAUCGUGAAUCGAUCGUUUGUUGACGAGUGAAUAAUCUACAAAAAAUGAUUGACAGGCAAUGGUGGUCAAGUAAACAGGGAAACCCAGACUUCAGGAGUCGACGAUCGAUCUUCAAAAGACCAUGAAGCAAAUUAGCACUGUUGACUACUCACCACGUCCACUGGUAGCUACCUGCUCAAAGACGAUAAGAAACUGAGGCUUGUCGUAUCGGAUAUCUCCAGGUACCACGACGAGCACAGAUAGGACAAGAUCAUGAGGAUUAGGAUGUUCAGGGAGCUGUUGGAUAGACCUGCCGAUCCGGUCUGCAUGGCUGCUGGCCUCUCUCCUGGAAAAAGAAACACAUUUUGAAUAAUGACUCAAUGGAACAAGGCGUAUGGAAAGGAUUCGUGUCGUUGAAAUUGGACUGUGCUUCAUCUUCUGGAGGAGAUCUGUAGUGAUGGAAUUUAUCCAGGACUGUGCUUCAUCUUCUGGAGGAGAUCUGUAGAGAUGGAAUUUAUCCAGGUGAAUCUCCAACAAGACGCAAGAGUUCCCAACGAACAAUGGGAGAAGAGGAAUGGACCAAAUUUUUUCGAACUCUAACAAUAAUGUCAUUAUUUGUGUCAAUUAACUUGAAUAAAUUUUCUGUUUGAA